CAUUAGCUCCGCCGCAGA
Molecule: microRNA, 18 nt
Filed under: Ananas comosus (pineapple)
Lineage: Eukaryota; Viridiplantae; Streptophyta; Magnoliopsida; Poales; Bromeliaceae
Description: microRNA s0523_c67a
Source: RNAcentral